This 327-nucleotide ribosomal RNA is filed under the name uncultured Chlorobiota bacterium. RNAcentral's name for it is "bacterial SSU rRNA". It matches the Rfam family "Bacterial small subunit ribosomal RNA", at positions 28 to 351 of the family's 1533-position model. Lineage: Bacteria; Pseudomonadati; Chlorobiota. The record is from RNAcentral.
GACGAACGCUGGCGGCGUGCUUAACACAUGCAAGUCUACGAGAACGAGGUAGCAAUAUCUUUAGUAAAGUGGCGCACGGGUGCGUAACACGUAAGCAAUCUACCUUUGGGUCUGGAAUAACUUCGAGAAAUCGAGGCUAAUACCAGAUAAUGCAGCGGCAUCGCAUGGUGAUGUUGUUAAAGUUUGAGUAAUGCCUAAAGAUGAGCUUGCGUCUGAUUAGCUAGUUGGUAGGGUAAUGGCCUACCAAGGCAACGAUCAGUAGCUGGUCUGAGAGGAUGAUCAGCCACACUGGAACUGAGACACGGUCCAGACUCCUACGGGAGGCAG